UUUAAGCCGCCUGGUGGAUGGCUCGGCUCGGGCGCCGAAGAAGGGCGCGGCAAGCGGCGAUAUGCCCGGGUGAGGCGCAUGCAGCCGUAGAACCCGGGAUUCCCGAAUGGGAACUCCUACUGCAGGUUAAUAGCCUGCAGUGCCCGGAUAACCGGGCGGGAACCCCCCGAACGGAAACAUCUUAGUAGGGGGAGGAGGAGAAACCAAACGGGAUUCCCUGAGUAGGGGCGACCGAAAGGGGAAGAGGUCAAACCAAAUCCCUCUAUGAUAAGUAGAGGGAGAUGUGGUGUUGAGAGCUUCUGGCUGGUUAAAAGCCAGAAAGCCGAGCCUCGGUAGCUGAAGUGGGCUGGAAUGCCCCACCGCAGAGGGUGAUAGUCCCGUAAGCAAAACCGAGGUGGCUUUCGCCAGAAGCUAGAGUACUACGGCCCGGUUUGGCCGUAGGAAGCAGGGAGCCACCAGCUUCCAAACCUAAAUACGUCCCGAGACCGAUAGCGGACAAGUACCGCGAGGGAAAGCUGAAAAGGACCCCGAGAGGGGUGUGAAAAGAGCCUGAAACCAGGCGGUUACACCGGAUGCAGCCCGAAAGAAAUGAACUUCUCCAAAGGAAAACGGAGUGAUCCGUGAGUACGAGGAGAAGCGAUCGGGGUUGCAUCUUCCGUCUUGAAACACGGGCCGGGGAGUUCACGGUUGUGGCGAGCUUAAGGGGCUAACCCCCGAAGGCUCAGGGAAACCGACAAGUCCGCAACCGGUUCUCCGGUGAGGGACGGGGUCCCAAAGGGCCUGGAGUCACAGCCGUGAAACCCGAAACCGGGUGAUCUAGGCGGGGGCAGAGCGAAGCCGAGGGAAACCUCGGUGGAGGCUCGAAAGGGUUCUGACGUGCAAUUCGUUCCCCUGACCCCCGUCUAGGGGCAAAAGACCAAUCUAACCCGGUGAUAGCUGGUUCCCGCCGAAGUGGGUCUCAGCCCAGCCUCACUGGAGGUAGGCCAUGGGGUAGAGUUACUGAUUGGAAGUGCAGUAGCCGAAAGGCUACGACUUCCAGUCAAACUCCGAACCUGUGGCCGCCGAAGAAGGUGGGAGUGGGGUUUCCCAGGGGUAAGCCUGGGAGCCGAGAGGGGAACAACUCAGACCGAGGUUAAGGCCCCAAAGUGCUGGCUAAGUGCCAUCUAAAGGGCGUCCUCAGCCUAAGACAGCGGGGAGGUUGGCCCAGCAGCAGCCAUCCUCUAAGGAGUGCGUAACAGCUCACCCGCCGAGGCUGAGGGCCCCGAAGAUUGGUCGGGGCUAAGCCAGCCGCCGAUACCUCGGGGCACCUCUGCAUUGCAGAGGUGAUCCGGUAGGCGGGCGUCGGGGUGGGGCAGAAGUCGGGCCGUGAGGUCCGAUGGACCCGCUCCGAGUGCGGAUCCCGGUGGUAGUAACAGCGAAGAGGGGUGGGAAUCCCCUCCGCCAGAAAGGGCCAGGGUUCCUCGGCAACGGUCGUCGGCCGAGGGUCAGCCGGUCCUAAGCGAGCCCGUAACACGGCGCUCGCAAAAGGGAAACAGGUUAAUAUUCCUGUGCCGUGGAGGUAGGCAUCGCGGCAACGCAAAGCUCAGCUCCUGACGUUUCGGGGUAGGCUGACAGGGGUAGCCGCCCCUGCUAACCUGCCGAAUACCGGGAAGUACCGUCAAGGUGAGAACCGGUAGAAGGGGGGAAUGGCCUGCCUAGUGCAGGUUCAGCCGAUCCCUGGAACCCAUGAAAAGGGAGCUGAGAACGAUCCUCCACGCCCGUACCGAGAACCGACACAGGUGCCCCAGGGUGAGAAGCCCAAGGCGUCUGGGGGUCAGCGCAGGCCAGGGAACUCGGCAAAUUAGCCCCGUAUCUUCGGAAGAAGGGGUGCCUGUGGACCUGGGCAGAAACCUGGGUCCAUAGGUCGCAGUGCCUAGAGGGACCUGACUGUUUAAUAAAAACAUAGCUCACCGCUAGCCUGUAAAGGUUUGUACGGUGGGUGAAUCCUGGCCACUGGCGGUCCGUGAACCCCGGGUCCAACCGGGCGAAGCGCCGCUGAAGGCCGGGAGUAACUCUGACUCUCUUAAAAGGUAGCCAAAUGCCUUGCCGGGUAAGUUCCGGCGCGCAUGAACGGAUCAACGAGGUCCCUACUGUCCCGGCCUGCGCCCCCGUGAAUCUAUAAGCUGGUUCACAGUCCAGCAACCUCCCGUAGGGAGAGAAGACCCCGUGGAGCUUUACUGCAGCCAGAUGUUGUCCUAUGGGAGUGGGAACGUAGCGUAGGUGGGAGGCGUCGAUCCUACCCUUUCGGGGGUAGGGGAGCCGAUCCUGAAACACCACCUUCUCGCUCCCGUAGGACUUACCCUGGGUAUCCAGGGGACAGCACCUGGUGGGCAGUUCGGCUGGGGCGGCACGCGCGCGAAAAGAUAACACGCGUGCCCAAAGGUCGGCUCAAGCGGGUCAGAAACCCGCUGUAGAGUGCAAGGGCAAAAGCCGGCCUGACCGAACCCCGGAUAACAACGGGUUCGGACGGGAAACCGAGGCCUAGCGAACGCUCGUGCCCCCACUGGUGGGGGCCGGGCAUGACAGAAAAGUUACCCCGGGGAUAACGGAGUCGUCGCGGGCGAGAGCUCCCAUCGACCCCGCGGUUUGCUGCUUCGAUGUCGGCUCUUCCCAUCCUAGAGGUGCAGCAGCCUCUAAGGGUGGGGCUGCCCGCCCAUUAAAGGGGAUCGUGAGCUGGGUUUAAACCGUCGUGAGACAGGUUGGACUCUACCCACGGGAGGCGUUGGCCGUCUGAGGGGAAGAUGCCCACAGUACGAGAGGAACUGGGCAUCGCGGCCUCUAGUCUACCGGUUGUCCGGCAGGGCAAUGCCGGGCAGCCACGCCGUUAGGGAUAACCGCUGAAAGCAUCUAAGCGGGAAGCCCGCCCCGAGACGAGACGGCCAUUCCGUGCGGGGAAACUCGCACGGAUGGAGGGCCCCCGUAGAAGACGGGCUUGAUAGGACGGGGGUGUAAGCUCCGAGGGACUUGUUCCCGAGGAGUGAGCCUGCCGUUACUAAAAGCCCGACGCCGCUUGC
RNAcentral lists this ribosomal RNA (3053 nucleotides) under Fervidicoccus fontis. RNAcentral describes it as "bacterial LSU rRNA". It matches the Rfam family "Archaeal large subunit ribosomal RNA". Lineage: Archaea; Thermoproteati; Thermoproteota; Thermoprotei; Fervidicoccales; Fervidicoccaceae. The record is from RNAcentral.